GACGGACGCUGGCGGCGUGCCUAAUACAUGCAAGUCGAACGCACUCUCGUUUAGAUUGAAGGAGCUUGCUCCUGAUUGAUAAACAUUUGAGUGAGUGGCGGACGGGUGAGUAACACGUGGGUAACCUGCCCUAAAGUGGGGGAUAACAUUUGGAAACAGAUGCUAAUACCGCAUAAAACCUAACACCGCAUGGUGUAGGGUUGAAAGAUGGUUUCGGCUAUCACUUUAGGAUCGGACCCGCGGUGCAUUAGUUAGUUGGUGAGGUAAAGGCUCACCAAGACCGUGAUGCAUAGCCGACCUGAGAGGGUAAUCGGCCACACUGGGACUGAGACACGGCCCAGACUCCUACGGGAGGCAGCAGUAGGGAAUCUUCCACAAUGGACGAAAGUCUGAUGGAGCAACGCCGCGUGAGUGAAGAAGGUUUCGGA
Molecule: ribosomal RNA, 428 nt
Filed under: uncultured bacterium
Lineage: Bacteria
Description: bacterial SSU rRNA
Rfam family: Bacterial small subunit ribosomal RNA
Source: RNAcentral